AUGAAUUUGAUUAAUGCAAAUUUUGUGGAACCGGAUGUUAGUGUAAUAUGCAGGAUUCCGAUUAGUAAUUCAGCUGAGGAUAUUUGGGCUUGGCAACCAGAAAAACAUGGUCAUUUCACUGUGAAAUCGGCAUAUAGAGUUCUUCUCUCUAAAAGUCGUCAAACUUACCAGCCCGGGUCUAGCAUCAAUCGGGAGAAGGUAUGGAAGAAAAUGUGGAAACUUGAGGUCCCUCCCAAGGUGAAGAAUUUCUGGUGGCGUAUUAUCCAUGACUUUAUACCCUGUCGUGCUGUUUUGAAGCGACGACAUAUGGAACGUAUUGAUUUCUGUGACACUUGUGGUCAACAGGAAACUACAAUGCAUGCUAUCUUUGAUUGCACUUGGGCAAGGAUCUUCUGGGAGCAGGUGAAGUCCCUAACUGGCAUAAAAAUUCCUGACCUACAUCCACACUCUUGGAUGUUCGAUGUGGUGGAUGGUACAAAGAUACCCCAAUCUGAAGCUUGUAUAAUUUUAAGUGGAGCAUGGGCGAUCUGGACUGAACGAAAUGCAAGAAAGCAUGGAGAGUCUGGGCGCUGUAUCAUGCAAUCAGUAAGAUGGGUGAUAGACUCGGUAAUGGACUCAACAAGUGCUGGAAAAGUAAGCAAGCCAAAGCAAUCAAAACAAAUAAAAUGGAAUCCACCUGAUGAAGGCGUGAUGAAGAUUAAUGUAGAUGCAUCCUUUGAUGAUGUUUCUUGUCAAGGUUCGACUGGGCUGGUUAUUCGGGAUAGGGAGGGUGCAUUACUUCAUGCACAAACCCUUUGGUAUAAUUUUGCAGCUAGCUCACAGUCCAUGGAAGCAGAAGCAAUUCGAGAUGGGGUUCGAAUGGCUAUUGAGAGAGGUUUCAGCAAAGUUGAGGUGGAAACUGAUGCUCAAGCUAUUGUUAAGUUGUAG
This 927-nucleotide ribosomal RNA is filed under the name Triticum aestivum (bread wheat). RNAcentral's name for it is "partial small subunit ribosomal RNA". Lineage: Eukaryota; Viridiplantae; Streptophyta; Magnoliopsida; Poales; Poaceae. The record is from RNAcentral.